RNAcentral lists this transfer RNA (76 nucleotides) under Arenivirga flava. Its description in RNAcentral is "tRNA-Leu". It matches the Rfam family "tRNA". Rfam says of the family: Transfer RNA (tRNA) molecules are approximately 80 nucleotides in length. Lineage: Bacteria; Bacillati; Actinomycetota; Actinomycetes; Micrococcales; Microbacteriaceae. The record is from RNAcentral.
GCCCCCGUAGCCCAAUUGGCAGAGGCGGCGGACUUAAAAUCCGCGCAGUGUCGGUUCGAACCCGACCGGGGGUACC